RNAcentral lists this small RNA (58 nucleotides) under Helianthus annuus (common sunflower). The record is from RNAcentral. Lineage: Eukaryota; Viridiplantae; Streptophyta; Magnoliopsida; Asterales; Asteraceae.
CACCGGUCGAGAGCUGAUGCCGCUAUCCUGAUGAGUCUAAGUUAGGACGAAACCAAUA